Molecule: ribosomal RNA, 508 nt
Filed under: Anaplasma bovis
Lineage: Bacteria; Pseudomonadati; Pseudomonadota; Alphaproteobacteria; Rickettsiales; Anaplasmataceae
Description: bacterial SSU rRNA
Rfam family: Bacterial small subunit ribosomal RNA
Source: RNAcentral
UAUGCAUAGGAUCUACCUAGUAGUAUAGGAUAGCCACUAGAAGUGGUGGGUAAUACUGUAUAAUCCCUGCGGGGGAAAGAUUUAUCGCUACAUGAUGAGCCUAUGUUAGAUUAGCUAGUUGGUGGGGUAAUGGCCUACCAAGGCAGUGAUCUAUAGCUGGUCUGAGAGGAUGAUCAGCCACACUGGAACUGAGACACGGUCCAGACUCCUACGGGAGGCAGCAGUGGGGAAUAUUGGACAAUGGGCGCAAGCCUGAUCCAGCUAUGCCGCGUGAGUGAGGAAGGCCUUAGGGUUGUAAAACUCUUUCAGUGGGGAAGAUAAUGACGGUACCCACAGAAGAAGUCCCGGCAAACUCCGUGCCAGCAGCCGCGGUAAUACGGAGGGGGCAAGCGUUGUUCGGAAUUAUUGGGCGUAAAGGGCAUGUAGGUGGUUUGGUAAGUUAAAGGUGAAAUGCCAGGGCUUAACCCUGGAGCUGCUUUUAAUACUGCCAGACUGGGUUCCGGGGAGA